Molecule: transfer RNA, 71 nt
Filed under: Chroodactylon ornatum
Lineage: Eukaryota; Rhodophyta; Stylonematophyceae; Stylonematales; Stylonemataceae
Rfam family: tRNA
About the family: Transfer RNA (tRNA) molecules are approximately 80 nucleotides in length.
Source: RNAcentral
GAGCGGUAGUUCAGUUGGUUAGAAUACCGGCCUGUCACGCCGGGGGUCGCGGGUUCGAGCCCCGUCCACUC